Molecule: ribosomal RNA, 253 nt
Filed under: uncultured bacterium
Lineage: Bacteria
Description: partial 16S ribosomal RNA
Rfam family: Bacterial small subunit ribosomal RNA
Source: RNAcentral
UACGGAGGGUGCAAGCGUUGAUCGGAAUUACUGGGCGUAAAGCGCGUGUAGGCGGCUCGGUAAGUCGGUUGUGAAAGCCCCGAGCUCAACUCGGGAAUUGCGUCCGAAACUGCCAGACUGGAGUCCCGGAGAGGAAGGCAGAAUUCCCAAUGUAGGGGUGAAAUCCGUAGAUAUUGGGAGGAAUACCGGCUGCGAAGGCGGCCUUCUGGACGGUGACUGACGCUGAGACGCGAAAGCGUGGGGAGCAAACAGG